RNAcentral lists this long non-coding RNA (1840 nucleotides) under Homo sapiens (human). Its description in RNAcentral is "HSALNT0374524". The record is from RNAcentral. Lineage: Eukaryota; Metazoa; Chordata; Mammalia; Primates; Hominidae.
GGCAACCGGCUCGGGUCCCAGUCCACACUGUGGAAGGUUUGUUCUUUCACUCUUUGCAAUAAAUCUUGCUGCUGCUCACUCUUUGGGUCCACACUGUUUUUAUGAGCUGUAACACUCACCGCGAAAGUCUGCAGCUUCACUCCUGAGCCAGCGAGACCACGAGCCCACCAGGAGGAACGAACAACUCCAGACCCGCUGCCUUAAGAGCUGUUAACAGUCACCGCGAAGGUCUGCAGCUUCACUCCUGAGCCAGCGAGACCACGAGCCCACCUGGAGGAACGAACAACUCCAGACCCGCUGCCUUAAGAGCUGUAGCAGUCACCACGAAAGUCUGCAGCUUCACUCCUGAGCCAGCGAGACCGCGAACCCACCAGAAGGAAGAAAUUCCGAACAUAUCCGAACAUCAGAAGGAACAAACUCCAGACGCGCCACCUUAAGAGCUGUAACACUCACCGCGAGGGUCCGCGGCUUCAUUCUUGAUGUCAGCAAGACCAAGAACCCACCAAUUCUGGACACAAAACCUCAAGUAGUCCCUCCACCGAAAGCACAUUAUAAGGAUCAUUUUGCCUCAAAGCCCUCCUACAGGCAAGAGGAGCUUACUGUGACUUCCAAGAAGAAAAUGAUGUUGUGGCAUGAAGCACUUCUCUGAUCAUAUCACUGCUGUACUAAAGGUAUGGAAUGUAUUCGGUGUUGAGGAGUUUGGACAGUACAGCAGCAGCUGCUCUAGGUAAGAUAAUCAGGGCAGUCCAUUCUGAGAAGAUUGCAUAAUAUACACACACAGAAAUAUAUAAAUAAUUUAAAGGCACAGUCUUAUUUUUGUAUGACAUGCUUGUUUGUCACAGUAGGAAUAAUUGUCUUCAUCAUUUCUUGGUCAUUUUCUUGCUUAGUAAUGUUGAUCCUGAAGAUCAAGUAUAUUUUCAAAAAUGCUUAAGCAUGGAGUAAGAGAACAAUGUAAAUUGUUCUCUCUCUCCCUGUCUUUCUCUCUUUUCUCUCUCUCUCUCCCUCUCUCUCACACACACACACUCUCACUCUAUCUCCACACACACACACACACACACACACAUCAACAUUCUGAAUGCCACAUAAAAAAUUUCUGAGACCUUUCAUUUCUAUGACUUGAUUUAUGGACAAUAAACUUCAGUCAUGUAAUAAAAUGUAACUUAGUUUAUGCAUGGAAAAUAUAACUUAGAAAAUCACCAUCUGUAUACUAAAAAUAAAUUGAUGGACACAGAUAACAGGGGAUACAGUACAAUACAGUUACAGAAACACAGUAAUCUUGUAAGUGGUAAGCAAAUUGGACUUCGAGUAUAGAUAACACAUAUUUGUUAUUGUUUUUCAAGUUAUUUGUAAUUUUAUUUUCUCCAAAUCUCUAUUCUCUGAUUAGUCUAUUUCCAGAUGGCAUAAUUAUGUUUCCAAAUUUCUAAGAUUCUGCCCUUGUGGUUUAACUUGUUUUAUUUAUACCAGAGCAGCUGACUUCAACAGCUGUUUUUUUCCUGGAAUAGAUUUUAGUCAAUAGUUUGCCAUUUCCAUCAAUUCAGAUCAUCUGAUUUACUAUAGUAGAAUAUUUCUAUGAGUAUUUUAGGAGUUUUCCUUGUACUUGAAAUGAAAAUUUAACAUUAGAUUUUCAAGUUGUUUGUCCAGUAUCUCCCUGAAACUUUUUAAUGGACCAAAAUAAUACAUACUCAUUUGGCAUUGAUAUUACCAAUUGAAUAAUAUGGAUUACUAAUUGCUCUUAUGAUAGGUAAUCAUCCAUAUCUUUGCCACUUUUUAUUAAAUUCAGAUGUCUUAUGUUUCUUACAUGUCAAUGAUAAGUUGUGUUGGAAUAUUUUCCCAUUUAUGC